AGGGUAAACGCUGGCGGCGUGCCUAAAACAUGCAAGUCGCACGGGGAAGUUUCGACGACCCAGUGGCAGACGGCUGAGUAACGCGUGGGUGACGUACCUGUUGGUGGGGAAUAACUGCCCGAAAGGGUGGCUAAUACCGCAUACGCCUGCACCUGCGUUGGUGUAGGGAAAGCAGCAAUGCGCCGAUGGAGCGGCCCGCGUCCGAUUAGCCAGUUGGUGGGGUAACGGCCUACCAAAGCGACGAUCGGUAGCUGGUCUUAGAGGAUGAUCAGCCAGACUGGGACUGAGACACGGCCCAGACUCCUACGGGAGGCAGCAGUUAGGAAUUUUGGGCAAUGGGCGCAAGCCUGACCCAGCAACGCCGCGUGGGUGACGAAGGCCUUCGGGUUGUAAAGCCCUUUUCUCAGGGAAGAUGAUGACGGUACCUGAGGAAGAAGCACCGGCUAACUACGUGCCAGCAGCCGC
Molecule: ribosomal RNA, 465 nt
Filed under: uncultured bacterium
Lineage: Bacteria
Description: SSU rRNA
Rfam family: Bacterial small subunit ribosomal RNA
Source: RNAcentral